AUUGAACGCUGGCGGCAGGCCUAACACAUGCAAGUCGAGCGAGCGGCGGACGGGUGAGUAAUGUAUGGGGACUGCCCGAUAGAGGGGGAUAACUACUGGAAACGGUGGCUAAUACCGCAUACUAUCGGAUAACCCAUAUGGGAUUAGCUAGGAGGUGGGGUAAAGGCUCACCUAGUCGACGCUCUCUAGCUGGUCUGAGAGGAUGAUCAGCCACACGGGGACGGAGACACGGCCAAGAAUCCAAGGGAGGCAGCAGUGGGGAAUAUUGCACAAUGGGAGCAAGCCUGAUGCAGCCAGGCCGGGUGUAUGAAGAAGGUCUUAGGGUUGUAAAGUACUUUAAGCGGGGAGGCGUUACCCGAAGAAGAAGAACCGGCUAACUCCGUGCCAGCAGCCGAGGUAAUUC
This 403-nucleotide ribosomal RNA is filed under the name uncultured bacterium. Its description in RNAcentral is "partial 16S ribosomal RNA". It matches the Rfam family "Bacterial small subunit ribosomal RNA", at positions 29 to 526 of the family's 1533-position model. The record is from RNAcentral.